This 48-nucleotide non-coding RNA is filed under the name Schistosoma margrebowiei. The record is from RNAcentral. Lineage: Eukaryota; Metazoa; Platyhelminthes; Trematoda; Strigeidida; Schistosomatidae.
AUCCAGCUGACGAGUACCAAAUAGGACGAAGCUGUGGGCAUCCUGGAU